This 1612-nucleotide ribosomal RNA is filed under the name metagenome. RNAcentral describes it as "SSU rRNA". It matches the Rfam family "Eukaryotic small subunit ribosomal RNA", at positions 169 to 1801 of the family's 1831-position model. The record is from RNAcentral.
ACAUGCGUUGGACUCCGAACUUUACGGUGAGGAGUGCUUUUAUUAGAUCAAAGCCAAUCGGGUCUUCGGAUUCGUUUAGUUGGUGACUCUGAAUAACUUUGCUGAUCGCACGGUCUUGCACCGGCGACGUAUCUUUCAAGUGUCUGCCUUAUCAACUGUCGAUGGUAGGUUAUGCGCCUACCAUGGUUGUAACGGGUAACGGGGAAUCAGGGUUCGAUUCCGGAGAGGGAGCCUGAGAAACGGCUACCACAUCCAAGGAAGGCAGCAGGCGCGCAAAUUACCCACUCCCGGCACGGGGAGGUAGUGACGAAAAAUAACGAUACGGAACUCAUACGAGGCUCCGUAAUCGGAAUGAGUACACUUUGAAUCCUUUAACGAGGAUCUAUUGGAGGGCAAGUCUGGUGCCAGCAGCCGCGGUAAUUCCAGCUCCAAUAGCGUAUAUUAAAGUUGUUGUGGUUAAAAAGCUCGUAGUUGGAUCUCGGUUUCGGGUGAAUGGUGCACCUUGCGGUGUUUACUAUUUAUUCGGACGAUUUUGUUGGUUCGUUCCUGGUUCUCUUAAUCGAGUGCCUUGAGUGGCCAACACGUUUACUUUGAAAAAAUUGGAGUGCUCAAAGCAGGCGCUACAGCCUGAACAUUAGUGCAUGGAAUAAUGGAAUAGGAUCUCGGUUCUAUUUCGUUGGCUUUCGGAGUCGAGGUAAUGAUUAAUAGGGACAGACGGGGGCAUUCGUACUGCGACGUUAGAGUGAAAUUCUUGGAUCGUCGCAAGACGAACUACUGCGAAAGCAUUUGCCAAGAAUGUUUUCAUUAAUCAAGAACGAAAGUUAGAGGUUCGAAGGCGAUCAGAUACCGCCCUAGUUCUAACCAUAAACGAUGUCGACCGGCAAUCUGCUCUCGUUAAAUUAAUGACUGAGCAGGCGGCCUGCUGGAAACAAGAGUAUUUGGAUUCCAGGGGGAGUAUGGUUGCAAAGCUGAAACUUAAAAGAAUUGACGGAAGGGCACCACCAGAGUGGAGCCUUCGGCUUAAUUUGACCCAACACGGGAAAUCUCACCAGGCCCGGACACCGGAAGGAUUGACAGAUUGAGAGCUCUUUCUUGAUUCGGUGGGUGGUGGUGCAUGGCCGUUCUUAGUUGGUGGAGCAUUUGUCUGUUAAUUCCGAUAACGAUCGAGACUCUGGCCUACUAAAUAGACGUCAAAUCUUUUAUAGGUUUGUCGUAUGCUUCUUAGAGGGACGGGCGGCGUUUAGCCGCACGAGAAUGAGCAAUAACAGGUCUGUGAUGCCCUUAGAUGUUCUGGGCCGCACGCGCGCUACACUGAAGAAAUCAGCGUGUGUUCCUCAUCCGAAAGGAUUGGGUAACCCGUUGAACCUUCUUCGUGAUGGGGAUUGGGGAUUGCAAUUAUUCCCCAUGAACGAGGAAUUCCCAGUAGGCGCGAGUCAUUAGCUUGCGUCGAUUACGUCCCUGCCCUUUGUACACACCGCCCGUCGCUACUACCGAUCGAGUGAUUUAGUGAGGACUCCGGACUGGUCUCUGAUGUAACUCUCGGGUUGUGUUGGUGUACUAGAAAGUUGUCCAAACUUGAUUACUUAGAGGAAGUAAAAGUCGUAACAAGGUU